GUUUUUUUUUUCUUGCAGAAAAUGGUAGUGUACUCUUAGAGAUACUGUCAUAUCGUUAUAUCAUCUCAGAAUUGUUUUCUAAUAACACAUACUUAGGCAUAAAAUGUUAUCUGUGUGGUCUCAUAAAAGUCUCCUCAUAUUUGAGGAGAGUAGUUUGUGCUUUCUGUUUUUCUACUCUGCCUGUUGAAGUAUCUUGCUUUAUCCUCUGGCUCACAUUAUGGUUGCUGUCUCUCCAGCCAUUGCCUCUGCAUCUUGAAAGGAAGAGGUGGAAUUGCAAAAGACAAAGGAGCAGCCCUCCCAAUGAAAGCGGCUUUUGGAAACAAAUUUAGCUGUAAGAAGUAGCCCUAAGAAGAUUUUCCUGAUUUGUCUCAUCACUACAGACCCACAUCCGGUGCCCUAGGUAAGGGAAGGCAGGUCUCUCCUGGGCCCACUGGCCAGCUUGUCGGCUUCCCUGGGC
This 457-nucleotide long non-coding RNA is filed under the name Fukomys damarensis (Damara mole-rat). RNAcentral's name for it is "lncRNA (ENSFDAG00000026359.1)". Lineage: Eukaryota; Metazoa; Chordata; Mammalia; Rodentia; Bathyergidae. The record is from RNAcentral.